RNAcentral lists this small nuclear RNA (107 nucleotides) under Dasypus novemcinctus (nine-banded armadillo). The record is from RNAcentral. Lineage: Eukaryota; Metazoa; Chordata; Mammalia; Cingulata; Dasypodidae.
GUGCUCACUUCAGCAGCACAUAUACUAAAAUUGGAAGGAUAUAGAAAAGAUUAGCAUGUCCCCUGUGCAAGGAUGACAAGCAAAUUCAUGAAACAUUCAUAUUUUUG